This 23823-nucleotide long non-coding RNA is filed under the name Lathyrus oleraceus (garden pea). RNAcentral describes it as "Pisum sativum (pea) long non-coding RNA (PSAT_LNC039115)". The record is from RNAcentral. Lineage: Eukaryota; Viridiplantae; Streptophyta; Magnoliopsida; Fabales; Fabaceae.
AGCUUUUGUAUAAUUAACCGGAUGGAGGAGAGUGUUUGCAACACGGAAGUCUGGGACACGCAAUAGGGUCACAUAUUUUACCUCCAAAUUGGCAGCAAGGUGGUAAGUCCUGUAUUUUUCCAGCAAAAACGCUUGUAAUAGCCGCUAGUAACAACACAAGUUUGAAUAACAUAUUCAACAUAUUUUUCAUUAUUCCUCAGCUUUUUUUUGUAAAGAUAAAAAAGAUAAUAUAUAUUAUAGUGAGUCCUAUCUUAAAACAAAAUGUACUUAUUUAUAGGCAAAAAGAAAAAGAAAGAAUCGUUAAACUAUGUAAAUGGAAGAAAAAAUUAAUGUUAUUAAAAUCUUUUUACAUUUUAUAUCAAUUUUUAUGUUUAUCUAUUGAAUGACUUUAUAUGUUUAUAUUUUUUUUCGUCUAUGGACUAACUUUGUCUUUCUCUCUUAUCCUAUUUAUAAGAAAAAUUUAAAAUUUUCAAAUUCUUGGAAUAAUUAAUAUAUUUAGUCCAUAGUAUAUUUCAUACACAUUGAUCAUUUAUUAAAUUUAAAAAAUAUUUUUUUCUUAUAAAUUGGACCGAAGGUAAUAUUACAUUAAUUUUUUUCCUUUCAAUUCACUAAUUUUAUAUUUUUAUUUGAAGUUAAGUAUUUUAUUAUUUGUUGACUAAAUUUAAAGUUUAUUAUUUUAUUGUAUGAUUAUUUAUAAUUUAACUUAUUAAUAAUACUUUGAAAUUUUUUUAUAUAACAAACACAUAAGAGUGAUGCAUCUUUUAUUAUGAAUACUUUAACUUUUUAUGAUAUUGAUUUGAUAACAAAUAAAAUCAAUAUCACAAAAAGUAAUAUUAUAUAUAGUAUUUAAAAUUUAAAUUCAUAUAUCAAAUUAAUAAUCCCCAAAAUUAUUUAUAGUGGUUAAUAAUUAUAUUGGUGCGGGCUAUUAUAAUUCUUAAAAAGUAAUUAGAUUAAAACUCCUAUUGUGGCUAUGUUUAUAUUAAAAAUAAAAAUUUAUUGGAAAAAAAUAUACUUCUUUAAGUUUUUCAAACAUGUUUAUAUUUNNNNNNNNNNNNNNNNNNNNNNNNNNNNNNNNNNNNNNNNNNNNNNNNNNNNNNNNNNNNNNNNNNNNNNNNNNNNNNNNNNNNNNNNNNNNNNNNNNNNNNNNNNNNNNNNNNNNNNNNNNNNNNNNNNNNNNNNNNNNNNNNNNNNNNNNNNNNNNNNNNNNNNNNNNNNNNNNNNNNNNNNNNNNNNNNNNNNNNNNNNNNNNNNNNNNNNNNNNNNNNNNNNNNNNNNNNNNNNNNNNNNNNNNNNNNNNNNNNNNNNNNNNNNNNNNNNNNNNNNNNNNNNNNNNNNNNNNNNNNNNNNNNNNNNNNNNNNNNNNNNNNNNNNNNNNNNNNNNNNNNNNNNNNNNNNNNNNNNNNNNNNNNNNNNNNNAUUUUAUAAAAUAAAAUAAAAUAAUAUUUUAAUCAUUUAACUAUUUUUAAUUUUUAAUGGUAUUUAAAUAAAACUAAAAUGUACUCACCAAUAUAAUAUUUUAUUAUUUUAUUUAAUAUAUAAAUUUAAUCAAAUAAAAAUUUAGAUUAAAAUUAUAUAUAAUUGUUGAAGAUUGUAUACGUACUUUUGUAUAUAAUGGUUGAAGAUUGUAUACAUACAAACAACUUUAGUGUUAAUAAAGUAAUUAAACCAAAAUUCUUAAAUUAAAUCAAAUUGAAAAGUUUGAAGGUGAGAAAAAUGUGCAAGAAGGGGAGGUUGAAUUGUGUAUUUGGAUUCUUUUUCACUUAUGAUAAACCAAUUUCAGAAUUUGAACAAGUUUAGAAUCUGAUCUCAGAGUUGUUAGCAGCGAAAUGAAUAAUAAUCUGAUCUCACAGUUAAAGCAAACUAACAAGAGACUUCCUAUACUCUAAAACAAUAGUUUAGGAGAAUAGAUACCAAUUAUACUUGAUGUUAAAUCAAGAUUAUAUAAGUGAUACAACACACACAAAGAUUCUUAAGCACUUAAGAUUUCUAAGAUAAGAAAUCUCAAGAACUUGUGUAGUAAACAAAUAAAAAAUUUAGGCCAAAAUUAUGCUCAAGUUGUUCUUGUUAGAUAGUUUGUUGGUUAGUUGUCUUCCUUCAAAUCUUCAACUCCUUUAAUAGAAGGGUGGGAAAGAGACGUUGGAAGGCAACUUACACAAGAGAUCUUUGUUGAGACGUUGGAAGGAAACUUACACGAGAGAUUUUUGUUGAGACGUCGUUACAAGAGAGACAUUGGAAGUUAAUCCUUUAUCCUUUGUGAAAUAACUUUAUCCACUACGUAUUUCUCAUACUUGGUAUCUACUAAGAUGUUGGGGAAGAAUUAAGAGGCCACAUCAACUUUCUGUAAUUUUAAGGAGUGCCUUAGAGGGGGGUGAAUGAGGCACUUAGAGUAUUUUCCGGAUUUUUGACGGUUUAUGACUUUUUACUUUCUGAAAUGCUUAAGUGAUGUAAAAUGGUAAAGAGCGGAAAGUAAAUGACACAUCGAUGUAUAGUGGUUCCCCUCACAGAUUGAGAGUACUCCACUUCCCUUUCAACACGAAAGAGAAUUUCACUAUAAUGUUAGAUUCCUAGACAAGACACCUUAAAGUAUUUCUAUCUAUUCUAACACACCAAGAACAAUCCUCUUGGAUUUACAAUGUUUAAAGUCCAAUCGAGACUCAUUUUCACACAAAUGGACCACUUGUAUCGACACACCGGAUAACAAGGAUAAUACCUUACAAACCUAUCCUUAACAAUCCUAAGAAUAAGUUGUAAUCAAAGAAUAUAAUUCUGAAUAAUUUGUAUAAGAUGAAAUAGAUGAAAAUUGAAGUAUAUCAAUUAAACAAUUGAUCUUCUCCUUUGUAACACUCAAAUCUCACAGUAAUUAUACAAGUUGAAAUUCUAGUUAUCAGACUUUGGAUGUCACAGUGGUUGUUAUGACAUCCAAUUCUGCACAGACAGGGAUUAUGCAGAACUUAACAGUAAGUGCAGUAAAUAACACAAGUAAUUGUUCACCCAGUUCAGUCCAACAUGACCUACAUCUGGGGGCUACCAAGCCAGGGAGGAAAUCCACUAUUAGUAGUAUCAAUUCAAAGCUAAACUCACCCGUUUACAACUUAUCACUUAAUCCCUACCCAAUGCAAUUUCAAUCUUAACCUAAGAUCAGAGUUCCUACUCACUCCCCCUCAAUCACCUCAGUGAUAUUAAAGACACUUUGAAGUCACACUUCAAAAACAACUCUUGAUUAUGCUUCACAGCUUAAAUCAAGAUACACAGCACUCACGCUUAAAAGCUUUGAGUGACACAACACUUACAACUCAAUGAACACCCUAUGCCAAAGCAAUCAUCUACUUGAUAAUGGCUUGGCUUACAAGAUACGUCUAAUACAAGACUCACAAAAUACAGCAGUGAAGUAUGAUGGACACACUGACUCUUCACGCUUCAAAAUCCCCGAGACUGAAUGAAGGAAUGCCUUCCUUUUUAUAUUGCAGCACCUGGGCUUUUGCACCUGUAUUUUCCUGAAUUUUAGGUCACACAAGUUCCCUCAAAUUCAACAUUUAGGUUGCUAACAAAUAGGCUAUUUGUUAGGUUCAUUGAAUGUAGCUUGGUUGUUGAUUUCCUGGAUUUUCUCUCAGCUGUUGAAUCCCUAAAGAAUAGCCUGAGAAAAAGCUGAAACAGAAAACUGAACAACCUACAAUUUAGCAUAUGCUGUCAGGCACGAAUGUCACGACAUUCAGCUUGACAUCAAGGUCCAUAUGCUGAGUCUGUUUUUCCAGAAAACAGACUGUACAAUUUGCUGACCUGUACAUGAUCAAAAUGACCAUACUACAGUAACAGCUUACAUUAAUAAAUGUCAAAGUGUCCAACUUAACAUUUAUACAUUUGGCCUUAAGUUAGUUCUGUUAUUCUCUUGAAGAACAAACUAAGUUUUAUGCUGAAGUAUAGCAGAACACCACUCUGCCUAAUCUUCAGUAGCUGCUGUCAAUGAUGAAUGUCACAACAUCCAGUUUGACAUUCAGUCAGUAGGCCUUAUGCCAGGUCUGGUUCUUCCUUGAUAACCAGACUGCAAAUGAAUACUAAGUUCUAACAGAACUUCUGUUCCUUAGUAUCUGUUGACAGGUAUGAAUGUCACAGCAUUCAAUAAUCCUGUGUUAGCUAGUCCUGCAGUAACUACAAUGCAGUCACACAUACAUGUCAUGACAUCAGUCAAGACAUUAGUGUUUUACCAUAUAAUGCAGCCAAUUAAACACUUACACAAGUGUUCUUGAAUUGGAAUGAAACUAUGAUGCUGAAAAAUGAAGGUUUAUGUAAAGUUUCACUCUUAAGAAAUUAUGGAUGAACACUUAGAAAGAAUGAGAGAAUGUGUGUAAAUAAUUUAAAUUUUUGCAAGGAGGUAAUUUUGAAAUCUGAAAAAAUGAUGUUUAUAUAAUGUCUAAAACACCUCCUUGGAUGAAUGCAAUAAUCCAAAGGUUGCCAUGUUUCAUGAUGAAGAGACCAUAAGAGUUUUCAUGAAAAGAUGCAAAUAUUUUUCAUUCUGGAUCAGUGGUAAUCCGUUACCUUAAGUAGGGUAACCGGUUACAUGCAUUCAACGUUACAAAAUAAUUUGAAUUUUGCUUAAGGUAAUCGGUUACCUUAAAUUGGAUAACCGAUUACAUGGUUCCAACGUUUAAAAAAGGUUUGAAAAUUACUCAGAGUAAUCGGUUACUAUAAAAGUGAUAACCGGUUACUCUAACACAGUUUUGAAAAAUAACUUUAAGAAACGAAGUGUGGUGGUUUGAUGAUGCAUAAAACUAUUUUUAAUGAUUAUGAUAUGAAUGCAACAUGUUGUGAACACUUGUAUAACUAUCUAAAGUUUAAGUGUUACCUUAAUCCAUGUGAAAGCCGAAUCUUCAUGUGAUUCACCGAGACUUGAUCAUUUGAUGGAAACUUCAUACACGAGCUUUAAACCUUGAUCAAUCUUUUUGUUAAUCCGACUUGAGCUAUGAAGCAAGGUUUGUCGUCAUCAAAAUAUCUGAGCAGUCAUGUCUCCACAAUCUCCCCCAACCUUGAUCAAUCUUUUUGUUAAUCCGACUUGAGCUAUGAAGCAAGGUUUGUCGUCAUCAAAAUAUCUGAGCAGUCAUGUCUCCACAAUCUCCCCCUUUUUGAUGAUGACAACCCAAAACACAUGAAAAUGUGAUCCCGUGGUGUUUCUCUAUCAACUACUCCCUCUUAAACUAUGCUCCCCCUUAAUUGAUGAAUUAAGGAGUCUUUGAAUUCUGCAUAUUUGUUAGAGAGACACAACCAGCAAGGAAAUAUCAUAGAAAUAAUUUCUUUUCUUCUUCCCCUUUGUCAUUAACAAAAAGGGUGAAAAAGAGAUAAAACAAACAAGCAUGCAAAUAGAAUAGGCUAAACAUCAUAUACCACACAGAGAGGAAAAUGUGAUUUUUAGACAAAAAACAACAGGGUAACCGGUUAUCCAUAUGUGAGUAACCGGUUACACAGAGUGAAAUUUAGAAAAUUAGGCAAAAAUGAGCAGGGUAACCGGUUAUCCAAAGUGAAGUAACCGGUUACACAGUGGCAAAAAGCACAUAUAAAAAAAUUUGAAGAAAGAAAAAUUUCACAAAAAGUUAAGAAGGAUUGGGAACUUAUGUACCUUGGCCUUAUGUAGUGAAUAAAUUUGAAAUAGUUAUAUGUCACCUUCAUUCAGAAUGCCAAGUUCACUUCGAAUCUUAUAGAAUGGUUCUUUUGCGAGCGACUUUGUGAAGAUAUCCGCCAGUUGAUUAUGAGUAUCGACAAAGGUAACUUCGACAUCGCCUUUAAGCACAUGAUCACGAAGGAAAUGGUGUCGAAUGUCUAUGUGUUUGGUCCUUGAGUGCAACAAAGGUAACUUCGACAUCGCCUUUAAGCACAUGAUCACGAAGGAAAUGGUGUCGAAUGUCUAUGUGUUUGGUCCUUGAGUGCAUGACCGGAUUCUUUGUGAUAUUAAUCGCACUUGUGUUGUCGCGUCGGAGUGGUAUGCAUCCAAUAUCGAUUCCAUAGUCACUUGAUUGUUGCUUUAGCCAAAGAUUCUGGGCACAGCAACUACCUACUGCUAUGUAUUCUGUUUCAGCCGUACUAAGAGCAACACACGCUUGUUUCUUACAAGACCAUGAGACUAGAGCAUUACCAAGGAUGUGACACGUUCCACUAUUACUUUUUCUAUCUGUUUUACAACAUGCAUAAUCCGCGUCAGAAUAACCAAUUAACUUACAAACACUACCUUUAGGAUACCAUAAUCCAAUGUUGGUUGUUCCCUUGAGGUACUUCAUGAUUCUCUUGACCGCCGUGAGAUGUGACUCCUUGGGAUUUUCUUGGAAACGAGCACAUAGACACACGCUAAACAUUAUGUCAGGACGGCUUGCCGUCAAAUAUAAUAAAGAACCAAUCAUACCUCGAUACUUUGUGAUAUCAAUUGACACACCCGAUUCGUCUUGAUUAACAUAAGUUCCACAACCCAUUGAUGUUGACAUUGCUUUACACCCAUCCAUGUCAAAUCUCUUUAACAGUUCUUUGCAAUACUUUGAUUGGUUGAUAAAAAUUUCGUCUUUUAGUUGCUUGAUUUGCAAUCCAAGGAAGUAGUUCAUCUUCCCCAUCAUAGACAUUUCAAAAUCACCUUGCAUUAUCAACGCAAAUUCUUCACAUAGUUCUUUGUUGGAUGAACCGAAGAUUAUGUCGUCUACGUAGACUUGCACAAGUAAGGUAUUCCCUUUUAUCUUCUUGAUGAAUAAAGUCUUGUCUACUUUGCCUUUUUCAAAACCUUUUUCACAUAGAAAAUUGCUUAGACGAUCAUACCACGCCCUUGGUGCUUGCUUUAAUCCAUAGAGCGCUUUCUUCAAUUUGUAUACAUGUGAAUGAUGCUUGAAGUCUUCAAAGCCCGGGGGUUGUUUGACAUAGACUUCUUCGUUGAUGUAGCCGUUUAAGAAGGCGCUUUUGACGUCCAUUUGAAAAAGUUGAAAAUUCAUUGAACAUGCGUAAGCAAGUAAUAAACGAAUAGCUUCUAACCUUGCAACCAGAGCGAAAGUUUCCUCAAAGUCGAUUCUUUCUUCUUGACUGUACCCUUGAGCGACCAAUCUUGCUUUGUUUUGAACAAUUAUUCCAUUUUCAUAAAGCUUGUUCUUAAACACCCAUCUUGUUCCAAUGAUGUGCUUAUCACUUGGUCUAGGAACAAGUUCCCAAACUUCAUUUAUCUCGAAUUGGUUUAAUUCUUCAUGCAUAGCAGCAAUCCAUUGAUCAUCUUCUAGAGCUUCAUCAAUUUUGGAAGGCUCUAUUUGCGAAACAAAUGCCAUGUUUAAGCAUGCAUCCUUGAGAUUCAAUCUUGUAGCGACACCUUGACUAAUGUCACCAACUACUUUGUCAAUGGGAUGAUCUCUAUGAAUUCUCCAUUCCUUAGGUAGAUCAUUUUCAGUUGACUCUUGUUGAAUCAGUGCUUCUUGAUCCUUGUUUGAAGUAUCUUCUUUAGGAAUUUCUACAAAAUCAUUAUCAUCAUCACAAACAACAAUUUCCUCUUUCGAGGGGUUAGAUUCGUCAAACUUAACAUGCAUGGAUUCUUCUAUAUUUAAAAUUCUUUUAUUAUAAAUUCUGUAUGCCUUACUUGUAAGAGAAUAACCAAGAAAAAUAUCUUCAUCCAAUUUUCGUCUUCAAUUAAGCAUUCAUCUUUUGUGAACCUUAUUUUGAAUCCUUUGUCACAAAGUUGGCUUAUGCUUAAGAGAUUGUGCUUUAGUCCUUCGACAUAUAGCACAUCUUCGAUGGAUAUGAAAUUUGUGCACCUAUUUGCCUAUGCAAGAAUUCUUCCUUUGUUGUUACCUCCUAAGUAACAUAACCCUUGGCCUUAAGCUUUUAGAUCUGAAAAUUUGUGCAAUCACGGCGGUCAUAUGCUUGGAGCACCCACUAUCCAAAUACCAAAGAUUUGUUGUGCCUCAAGCCAUACCUACAAAACAAAGUUAAGUUUUGUUAGGUACCCAAUUGCUUUGGGUCCUUUAUAAUUAGUAUCUUUCUCAACCAAACAAAAUAAUGCCCUUUUGCUACAACUAAAUUUCUAAAUGUUGCAAGCAUUAGGUGUAUGGCCAAAUAAAUACCACAAUAAAAACAGGUUGGUUCAAAAUUGCUUUUAUAUCUAGGAACGAAAGGCUUUUUCUUGAUAAACUUUUUCUUUAGGAUGUUGAUGCAACGCAACUUUUUGGUGUGUUGACUCUUUCUUUUGGAGGUUGAUCCUUAGGCCUUACAAAGAUAGUUUUACUUGUACUUGGUUUAGAAAAUUUGGAGUAACCAAGUCCACUUUUUUCAUUUGAGUAUCUUUGUUGGCUAAUAACCCCUUCCAAACCAAUUUGUACUUUUUCAUAUCUUUCAAGGACUCUUUUAAGUUGGACAAUUUGGAAUGAGAGAGAUUCACACUCUAGACAUACAAGAUUCUUCUUUUCACUAAUCAUCUCUUGUUUCUUAUUUUCAAAGACUUCAAUCUUUUCUUCCAAGGAAGAAUUUUUUUUCUUUUGAGAUGAUAUAGUUUUAUAAAGAAUUUUGCAUUCAUUAAUUGCAUCUUGUGCAUCAUCAUCAAAAAGAGAAAAAUUAUUACUAACCUUUUCUUCAUCAUCAGAAUGAUGUGAAGUCAUUAGCGCCAAGUUUGCACAUUCCUCGCUAUCCGACCCAGAUGAAGAGCUAAUUUCAUUGUCCUCCCAUGCGAGAUAUGCCUUUUUUUUCUUGAAGUCCUUCUUGCUCUUGAAUCCUCCUUUCUUUGAAAGUUUAGGACAUUCCGGCUUUAUGUGGCCUUGUUUUCCACAUUCGUAGCAUGUUACAUCUUGCGUAGAUGUGGUGGCCUCCUUCUUCCUGAAAUGUCUAUUCUUUUUAGCGUUAAAGGAUUUAUCAUUUUUGUUAAAGAACUUACCGAGCCUUUUAACAAGGAGCAUGAAAUUCUCAUCUUCCACCAAUGCGUCAUCAUCUUUAUCUUCUUUUGCGUCUACCUUCAAGGCAAUCCCUUUAGAUUUCUUUUCUUGGGUUUCAUGUUUCUCAAGCCUACCGAGUUCUAACUCAUGUUCUUGAAGUUUGCCAAAGAGAUAUGCGGACGUCAUUGUUGAGAGACUUUUCUUUUCGGAGAUAGCCGUCACCUUCGGUUGCCAUUCUCGAGUCUAUGAUCUUAGUACUUUAAGAUUGAGUUUGUCAUUUGUAAGUGUUCUUCCGAGAGAAAUCCAGUGGUUUGUCAAGUGAACAAAUCUCUUUUGUAGCGUCACGAUGGAUUCUCCGGGAAGCAUUCUAAACAUCUCAUAUUCUUGACUUAAUGUAUUCAACCUUGAUCUCUUUACUUCGGCGGUGCCUUCAUGUGUCUCCACUAAGGUGUCCCAUAUUUCUUUUGCCGACUUGCAUUGAGAUAUGCGGAAGAACUCAUCCAUGCUUAAAGCACUUUGAAGAAUGUUUACUGCUUUCUUUUCAUUUUAGAUUUUUUUCUUAUCAUCUUCAUCGUAAGAACUCUUUAUCUUUGGAGUGCCAACGCCAUUGAUCACACUCGUAGGAUUAUGUGGGCCAUUUUCAACGGCUUCCCAUAUGCCUUCUCCUUGGGCUUCUAGAUGUGCCUUCAUACGAAUAUUCCAAAAAUCAAAACAUUCUCCAGAGAAUAGUGGUGGUUUGUUACUACUUCCACCGUCUUUAAAAACCGGAUUCGUGCUUGCAGAAGCCAUGUGGAUCUUUUAGGAAUAGGUUACCUAUAACCUGCUCUGAUACCAAAUGUAAGUUUAAGGAGUGCCUUAGAGGGGUGGUGAAUGAGGCACUUAGAGUAUUUUCCGGAUUUUUGACGGUUUAUGACUUUUUACUUUCUGAAAUGCUUAAGUGAUGAAAAGCGGUAAAGAGCGGAAAGUAAAUGACACAGUGAUGUAUAGUGGUUCCCCUCACAAAUUGAGAGUACUCCACUCCCUUUUCAACACGAAAGAGAAUUUCACUAUAAUGUUAGAUUCCUAGACAAGACACCUUAAGGUCUUUCUAUAUAUUCUAACACACCAAGAACAAUCCUCUUGGAUUUACAAUGUUUAAAGUCCAAUCGAGACUCAAUUUCUCACAAAUGGACCUCUUGUAUCCACACACCGGAUAACAAGGAUAAUACCUUACAAACAUAUCCUUAACAAUCCUAAGAAUAAGUUGUAAUCAAAGAAUAUAAUUCUGAAUAAUUUGUAUAAGAUGAAAUAGAUAAAAAUUGAAGUAUAUCAAUUAAAUAAUUGAUCUUCUCCUUUGUAACACUCAAAUCUCACAGUAAUUAUACAAUUGUUCUUGAAUUUGAAUGAAACUAUGAUGCUGAAAAAUGAAGGUUUACGCAAAGUUUCACUCUUAAGAAAUUGUGGAUGAACACUUAGAAAGAUUGAGAGAAUGUGUGUAAAUGAUUUAAAUUUUUGCAAGGAGGUAAUUUUGAAAUUUGAAAAAAUGAUGUUUAUAUAAUGUCUAAAACACCUCCUCAGGUGAAUUCAAUAAUCCAAAGGUUGACAUGUUUCAUGAUGAAGAGACCAUAAGAGUUUUCAUGAAAAGAUGCAAGUAUUUUUCAUUCUAGAUCAGUGGUAAUCGGUUACCUUAAAUAGGGUAACCGGUUACAUGCAUUCAACGUUACAAAAUAAUUUGAAUUUUGCUUGAGGUAACCAGUUACCUUAAAUUGGAUAACCGAUAACAUGGUUCCAACGUUUAAAAAAAGUUUGAAAAUUACUCAGAGUAAUCGGUUACUCUAAAAGUGAUAACCGGUUACUCUAACACUGUUUUAAAAAAUAACUUUAAAAAAUGAAGUGUGGUGGUUUGAUGAUGCAUAAAACUAUUUUUAAUGAUUAUGAUAUGAAUGCAACAUGUUGUGAACACUUGUAUAACUAUCUAGAGUUCAAGUGUUACCUUAAAAAAAAAUGAAGUGUGGUGGUUUGAUGAUGCAUAAAACUAUUUUUAAUGAUUAUGAUAUGAAUGCAACAUGUUGUGAACACUUGUAUAACUAUCUAGAGUUCAAGUGUUACCUUAAUCCAUGUGAAAGUCGAAUCUUCAUGUGAUUCAACGAGACUUGAUCAUUUGAUGGGAACUUCAUACACGAGCUUUAAACCUUGAUCAAUCUUUUUGUUAAUCCGACUUAAGCUAUGAAGCAAGGUUUGUCGUCAUCAAAAUAUCUGAGCAGUCAUGUCUCCACACUUUCCUUGGGCCUUGCACUAAGAAACACAAGUUGACUUUUUCAAUAAUCUGGCGUAGAUAAGAUUGGUUUGCUUUGGAGAUAGAGUAUGAUUCAGAAGCUGAGUUGUCAUCAGAAGCAAAGAUACAAGCAUCUGAGUCAUCAGAAGCAAAGAAAUUAAAAUAUAUGAGCAAAGAGAGAGAAAAGAUACUGAUAAAAAUGUGCAGGAAAAUUAAAUUCUGUUAAAAAUGAGUAAAAACAACUUGAUGCAAGUUCCCCAAAAAAUACGAUUUUUAAGAGAUAGAUAAUUGGCUAGAAUGAUGGAAAUUAUUUCUUUGUUUCUCGAGAUGGUUAGACAUAUUUCUUUCAUCUUCUAGGAAUUGAAAACAACAAAAGUAAUGAUUGCAUUAAAGAGUUAGAAAACCUCAAGCAUCAUGCAUUAAAGAUUUAAGUGAUUAAACUUCCCUAAUAAACGUAUGAAAUGCUCAAAAUCUUCUAUAAAAGCAUGAGUUCAUAAUUUGAAAUCCGACAUCUAUAUCCAACUCUUUCUCUUCUUCAAAAAAAAGAGCACUCCUUAUGAAGAUACCAAAGACCAAGUCUCUUUAGAGAUGACCGAGGGUAAGGAAACCAAUACCACCACUAAGAAUUAAGCUUAAAGAAGUGACGAACCCCAACCUUUUGGAUCAACCACCUUUACUGAAGCUUUCAAGCCUAAAAAGACUUCAAAUAAUAAGAACCUCAUGAAGAAGAAGAAGAAGAUUUCUAAUAAAGUCAUCUACAUCAACUCUGAUGAAGAUAAAGAGCUAGAUGUGGACUGGGAAACCUCCUUUGUGGCUCGAGGUUGGAUAAAUGAUUUUGAUAAAAUAUUGUAGAACACCAUAUUGCAUUCUCAUUCCGUUUUAAUGAAAUUUUAAUCACUUUCUCCUUUUUGCAAUGAUACUUUAUGUUAAAGUCUCUUUAUUCCUUUGAAUGAUCCUUCGAUACAAAUGUUUCAAAAACAAUUAAGCCAAUUAAGCCCAUAGUAAAGAAAAAUGAAGGGAAUAUAGUCAAUGUAGUGAGUCCUAUCUUAAAACAAAAUGUACUUAUUUAUAGGCAAAAUAAUACAUUUAAUGUAUAAGUAUUAUUCAUUAAAUUUAAAAAAAUAAAUUUAAAAUAUAUUAUUAUUUUUCCUUUCAAUUGACUAACUUUAUGUUUUUAUUUUAAGUUAAGUAUUUUAUUAUUUGUUGACUAAAUUUAAAGUUUAUUAUUUUAUUAUAUGAUUAUUUGUAAUGUAAUUUAUUAAUAAUAUUUUUUAUAUUAUUUAAUAUAACAAACACAUAAAAGUGAUGCAUCUUUUAUUAUGAAUACUUUAACUUUUUAUGAUAUUGAUUUGAUAUCAAAGAAAAUCAAUAUAACAAAAAUUAAUAUUAUAUAUAGUAUUUAAAAUUUAAAUUCAUAUAUCAAAUUAAUAUUCUCGAAAAUUAUUUAUAGUGGUUAAUAGUUUUAUUGGCGCGGGCUAUUAUAAUUCUUAAAAAGUAAUUAGAUUAAAACUCCUAUGGUGGCUAUGUUUAUAUUAAAAAUAAAAAUUUAUUGAAAAAAAAUAUACUUCUUUAGGUUUUUCAAACAUAUUUAUAUUUUUCGUUUUUGAAACCAAAAAAAUAUAUAUAAUUGUCUCUCUUAAAAUUUAGUUUAAAAUUAAUUUAUAAAAUAAAAUAAUAUAAAUUCUCACAUGCUCAUCUAUUCCUGCAAUUGUUUUAAUUUCAAUUUUGUAUUCAUAAAACAUUAAUAUUUUAAUCAUGUAAUUAUUUUUAAUUUUUAAUGUUACUUAAAUAAAAGUAAAAUGUACUCACCAAUAUAAUUUUUUAUUAUUUUAUUUAUUAUAUAAAUUUAAUAAAAUAAAAAUUUAGAUUAAAGUUAUAUAUAAUUGUUGAAGAUUGUAUACGUAGAAACUACUUUUAUAUAUAAUGGUUGAAGAUUGUAUACAUACAAGGAACUUUAAUGUUACAAAAGUAAUUAAAUCAAAAUUCUUAAAUCAAAUCAAAUCGAAAAGUUUGAAGGUGAGAAAAAUGUGCAAGAAGGGAAUGUUGAAUUAUGUAUUUGGAUUCUUUUUCACUUAUGAUAAAGCAAUUUCAGAAUUUGAACAAAUUUAGAAUCUGAUCUCAGAGUUGUUAGCAGUGAAAUGAAUAAUAAUCAGAAGCAAGAAAUAAAGCAACACACAGAAUUAUCCUAGUUCCUCUCCUAAAUGACAGUAGUCCAGUCCCCUUGCAAAACAAGAGAUUUUCAGUAUAAUCAAACUGAUUACACUUUUCUCAAACAAACUAGCAAAAGACUUCAAUUGUUCAAGGAGACUUCUGCACAAGCACAAAAGCAGGAGACUUCUUUUGCUCAAGCACACGGGAAAGAGAAUUCCACAGCUCAAGCAAACUAACAAGAGACUUCCUAUACUAUAAAAAAAUAGUUUAUGAGAACAGUUACCGAUUAUACUUGAUGUUAAAUAAGGAUUAUAGAAGUGAGAAAACACACAUAAAGAUUCUUAAGCACUUAAGAUUUCUAAGAUAUACAAAAAUAAGAAAUCUCAAGAACUUGUGCAGUAAACAAAGAUAAGAAAUCUCAAGAACUUGUUAGAUAGUUUGUUGGUUAGUUAUCUUCCUUCAAAUCUUCAACUCCUUUAAUAGUAGCGGGUAAAAGAGACGUUGGAAGGCAACUUACAUAAGAGUUCUUUGUUGAAACAUAGUUAAAAGAGAGACGUUGGAAGGAAACUUACAAAAGAGAUUCUUGUUGAGAUGUAGUUACAAGAGAUACAUUGGAAGUUAAUCCUUUAUCCUACGUGAAAUAACUUUAUCCACUACAUCUUUCUCAUACUUGGUAUCUACCAAGAUGUUGGGGGAAGACUUAAGAGGUCACAUCAACUUUCCUUGAGCCUUGCACUAAGAAACUCUAGUUGACUUUUUCAAUAAUCUGGUGUAGACAAGAUUGGUCUGCUUUGGAGAUAGAGUACGGCUUAGAAGUUGAAUUGUCAUCAGAAGUAAAGAUACAAACAUCUGAGUCAUCAGAAGUAAAUAAAUUAAAAUAGAUGAGCAAAGAGAGAGAAAAUAUAUUAAUAAAAAUGUGCGGGAAAAUUAAAUUAUGAUAAAAAUGAGUAAAAACAGUUUGAUGCAAGUUCCCCAAAAAAAUACGAUUUUUAAGGGAUAGAUAAUUGGCUAGAAUGGUGGAAAUUAUUUAUGUAUUUCUCGAGAUGGUUACAAAUAUUCCUUUCAUCUUAUAGGAAUUGGAAACAACAGAAGUAAUGAUUGCAAUAAAGAUCUAGAAAACCUCAAACAUGAUGCAUUAAAGAUUUAAGUGAUUAAACUUCCAUAAAAAGUGUAUGAGAUGCACAAGAUUUUCUAUAAAAGCAUGAGUUCAUAGGUUGAAAUCCCACAUUUACAUCCAACUCUUUCUCUUCUUAAAAAAAUGAGCACUCCUUCUGAAGAUACCAGAGACCAAGUCUCUUUAGAGAUGACCGAGGGUAAGGAAACCAAUACAACCACUAAGCAUUAACCUCAAAUAAGUGAAGAAAUCCAACCUUCUGGGUAGAAACCAAUACAACCACUAAGCAUUAACCUCAAAUAAGUGAAGAAAUCCAACCUUCUGGGUCAACCACCUUUACCGAGGCACUCAAGCCCAAAAAUACUUCAAAGAAGAGGAAGCUCGUGAAGAAGAUUUCCAAUAAAAUCAUCUACUUCAACUCUGAUGAAGAUAAAGAGUCAGAUGUCGAUUAGGAAACCUCCUUUGUGGCUUGAGGUUGGACAUAUGAUUUUGAUAAAAUGUUGUAGAACACCAUAUUGCAUUCUCAUUCCAUUUUAAUGAACUUUUAAUCACUUUCUCUUUUUUGCAAUGAUAUUUUUUGUUAAAUUCUCUUUAUUUCUUUGAAAUGAUCCAUCGAUAGAGAUGUUUCAGAAAUAAUUCAGCCAAUUAAGCACAUAGUAAAGAAAAAUUAAGGAAAAUAGUAAAUGUUUUUAAUUUUACCAGAGGACAUGAUAAAUCCCAUUAAAUAUAGCUCAGAUAUCAAAAUAUAAAUCACAACAGAUAAAUUCAAAUCAAAACAAAUUUAUUUUAAAAGAAAUAAGUUUAGAGAAUGCAAAAAAAAUCAUGUUCUAAAACAUAAGCCUAUGGUUUCUUCAUAAGAUCUAGGAUAUAAUUUAGACCGGAGCCUAUUUCAUCUUACUUAGAAAUCACAAAGCUGAGUUGAGCCUCCACUGAUUCUUGAUGACUGGUAAGAAUGGAAAUCUGAGAGCUCAUAUCUUGAAUCUGAUUGCCCAUCUAAACUUGAGAAUUAGAAAUAGAAGUUAAUCUUGCCUCAAGAUGAAUCUACCUAUGACUAGAUGAAGCAACAACUUCUGAUGAGAAACUUCUCAUACUUUGUAUGACAGAGCCAACAAAGGAUCGAAAAGCAUCCUAUCUUGCAUCAUAGGCGACAUAAUCUGUGAUGGUAUGCCUAUUAAGAACAAGCUUUCUGACCUUAAAGUAAAAUCCAUUUAUGAAAUCUUUUAUUUGAGAAACGAUUUGGAUUGGAGUGUUUUGGAUAGGAUUAGAAAUAUCUUGUCCCUAAAAACCAUUUUGUUUCAACUUCUGCCAUAGUAGCAGUCUCUCUGACUGGAGGUAAAAAGUAAGGUUUAGGCUGAGGUUCAUCAGAUAUGACAUAUUUAAACUCAACAACAUGUUAAUUCUAAGUCAGUUGUUCUAAAGAACUAGAGGGUUGGGAUUAAGAGGAAAGAGGCCCAACAAAGUAAAUUUGCAGGGGUGAAACUAGCAGGGGUCUUUGAUUGGAUUGAUCAGAACAUAAUUCACUAGAUAGAUGCUUUGGGAGAACUUAUACUAUAGUGAGUGGCUUGUAAAUUCUUUGAAAGUGUGUUAGGUCAAACAACUCUAGGAUGGUUGAAGGUUGGGCGGGGGAAAAAGAGUGUCAGUGUGUUAUGAUAGCUCGGUUAUUUGAUGAAAGGAGUGAAGACGUAUGUCCGAAGAUUCAGAGGAUGAGGAGUGUUAGGUUAAUCUUUUGGUGAUUGACUGCUUUUGGGAAAAAUAAGUAUUUGCAAGAUGUUCUGACAUGUUACUUCAACAUUCUGCAUAAUCCAACUUGAGUUAGUUGUGAGAUUUAGUAUAUUUAAUUGGGCUUCCUACAGACUCUCUGAAGAUUUAGGUUUUGUAUUCUAUUAUGUGUUUCCCUGUGAUUGGAGAAUAUCGUAUCUUGAAUUGCACACGAAGGAACAAUGUCAAGACAUAUUAGCAAAUAUUUGAUUUAAUGAGAAUCAUAUCUUCAGAAGAUUGAGAAGAGAUCUUGGAUAUGCUUCAUAUCAAAGACCGAAGCCCAUGCGUAUCACUGCUAUAUAUAGAGGCGUUCUUAACCUAGGAAGGUAUCGAAGUAGUGCAGUAGUGUAUGAUCAUUAGGGCUUCAUGAGCGUGUUUUAUGUGAGCCAUUCGAGUAUCACAUUGAUCAUUCGAAGUUUAUGUAUUUUCAUGCAUAAAAAGAAUUCAAAUGGAUCAUUUUAGCGGUAAAAAGAUCGCCUUAUAGGUAAUGGAGUGAACCAACAAACAAACAUUGAUUAUGGUAAAACCUUCAUCCCUGUAGUCAAAUCGGCUACUAUUUACACAAUACUCAGUGUUGCUUCAUCAAUUGGAUGUUAAAAAUUCCUUCUUGCACGACAAUAUUGAAAAAUUAAUACUUUAUCCUUUUUCAUGUCAGAUUAUUCACCAUUCAAAAUUUUACUCUUCAGUUUAACUUUUUCAAAAUAUGUGAAUAUGCACGCUUACAUAAUUUUAUCGAAUUAUUUUACUUUUUAAAAUUUAUUACUUUAUUUCUCUUCACCAAAUUACAUUCAAUCAAUCACGUAAUUUGAUAUGCAUUGAUGUUUAUCAGAUAAUUUAUUAUCAAGUACUUAGGUACGUAUCUUUGUUUCUCAGAUAACUUGCAUCAAUGUUGUUCGAUAUUAAUGACUAUCACCAAAUAACUUAGUUAAUUCAAUCUCAUCUUUUGAAUUAGAUUUUGGGAUUGAGAUCCAAACAUAUUUAGCAUGGUAUUAGAGUCGGGUUAAAGACUACAACAUAUGUAUUUAACCAAGGCUCACGCUAGACGUGAGGAUGGAUGUUGAAAUUGAUACUUAUAUUGUUGGAGUUUAUUCCUCUAUAGUCAUAUUAAAUAACUCAAUAAUAAGAGGAGUAACUUCUUUGUUGAUACUCGACGAGGGUCUUAAAAGUCAACACUAGUAAAAAUUUAUAUAUGAAACAUCGUCCAGAAUAAUUUUUAUUUCACCUAAUAGGGUAUGAAAUGACCAUGUCUCCGGAUGCCAUCUAUCCAUAAAUGAUGAUAUAAUGCUGGAAUCAACCCUCUUCAACAUGAUUAUUGAGAGUGAAGAAAGACAAAAGUCAUCCAACUAACCAUGAAUCGCAGGUAGGAGAUACAUUAGAAACUAUUCUAGUAGUUAUAUCUAAUGUGUUGGAACCUUUAACUCCUUCUUUUUACCUCACUCCUAAAAACAAUUUUAAGUAUGAAUAAAAUAUCAGUAAUAAUUAAAAUUAAAGAUUAUUUUAUUAAAAAAAUAUAAAAUAUAGGUAAUAAUUAAAAUUAAAGAUUAUUUUAUUUAAAAAAAUAUAUAAAUAUUUAACUCUCCAUGUCAUAAUCAACAAGCAACACGAUACGUCAACACUCAAUGAUCUUAUUGGUGUGUCCUCUUCUAUGCACCAUUGUUUACUAAUUACAUAAAUCUAAACAAAUUUUGGAAAAAUAUUGCAGGCCGGUUGACUCAACAUUAAGACAUGCGGUGAGGAAAAAAGUAGACCAUAUAACUCAAACCAUUGUUUACUAAUUACAUAAAUCUAAACAAAUUUUGGAAAAAUAUUGCAGGCCGGUUGACUCAACAUUAAGACAUGCGGUGAGGAAAAAAGUAGACCAUAUAACUCAACAUCAAAACAUCCAACGAAGAAGCAUAUGGAUCGAAUGACUCAAUAUUAAAAAGUCUGGUAUAGAAAAAUGUGGGUUGGAUUAUUUAACAUCAAGAUAUUAAGUGAAGAAAAAUAUGGACCCUAUGACACAAUCUUAAAACAUUCGAUAGUGAUAAAUGUGACUUAGAUGACUUAAGAAUGUUUGUGAUUAGAUAACUUUUAGAUUUUUGGUAUAAAAAUAUUUCCAAACUAUGUCAACCGAUUAUAUAUAAAAAAUGAACCAGAUUGUUUAAUAAAAAAAAUGAGAGAAACAAAUAUUUUUUAAUUUUUUUUUAACUAUUUAUAUAAAGGAGUCAUGGUCAACUAAAAUAUAACUAAAAUAUAUGGUAAGGUGGACGGACAAUUGUUGAAUUAUAGGGUAAAAUUUUAUAGAAGUUUAAAGAAUCAAUAUAAAAUAACCUUCAUUAUUAGUAAAGUUUAUUUAUGAACAAAAUGAAAUAAAUAUCUUAUAAAGAAUAGUAUUUUAAAACAAAAUGUACUUAUAAAUAAGUAAAAUAGAGAAUCAUCAAAAUAUUUAAAUUGAAAAUUUUAAUAUUUAAUGACUCAAUUGGUCGAGAGUAUCAGUAUCUAACUAUAUUCAAAAAUAUUGGAUUGUCCACAAUUUUUUAUAUUAUAAAUAUAAGAAAGAAAACAGCCUUUUAUUAUUAAAACUUUGACUUUUAAUAUUGAAUAUAUUAAUCAAAUAUCAAAUCUCUCUUAAUAUUUACAUAAUAUAAAAUAAAACAAAAUUCAAUCUUCAUUGUCAUUUAAUCACAAUGUUUUAAAGCGUUAUCUAACAAUUUAACCUUUAUUAUUAUUAUUAUUAUUAUUAUUAUUAUUAUUAUUAUUAUUAUUAUUAUUAUUAUUAUUAUUAUUAUUAUUAUUAUUAUUAUUAUUAUUAUUAAUUCUAACGUUGAAUAUAAAUAAUAUAAAUCAUAUGUUUCCUUUUAUAAAAAAUAAUAUCUAUGUAUAUAGAUAAAAAGAAGCCAAACAAAUUUUAAUAAUAAAGAUCCAUUCGAGUCAUUUUUUCUUAAACAUUAAUAUCAAUAACACUUAUAUGUAAUAAAAUAAAAGAAAGAAACAUAUAUAUUUAUAGUCUUACAAAUAAUGUAGUUAUAUCAUAAAUAUUAAAUCAAUUUUACUUUUUUUAUAAAUAAGACCAUUAAUUUUAAUAAAGGAUAAAAAUAUGUAUUUUUUUCUCUUAUCACCCUAAUAUUUUUCACAUAUUUUAAAAAAUAACUAAUAAAUCUAAUUGAUAUCUUUUCUUUACUAAUCUUUCAAAAAAAAUAAUUUAUAUAUUAAUAAGUGUAAUCAAUUAUUAUUAUUAUUAUUAUUUAUUAAAUUUGAAAUAAAAUAAAUUAUUUUAAAUUCUUAUUGGAAUGAGGUAAGUAUUUUCUUUUUUCCUUGUACCACGUCAUAAUAUCAUAUACGAUUUUUAUAUCAAACUAUAUUUUAAAAAUAAAGUCAAUAAAAAUCAGACUUAAUUGAUUGAAUUAACUUUUAUGUAAUCAAAUCAUAUGAUUAAAAUAUUUUAUAUGCUACGUUAAAGCAUAUUUCUAAAAAUAAAAUAAUAUUUAAUUUAAUUUAAUUUAAAAUGAUUAUUUUAUUUUUAUCAAUUUUAUAAAUAAUAGUCAAUAGAAAAAAUUAAAAAAUUUGAAUAUAGAGAAAAUGAUAAAAAAAAAUAAGAGAAAGAGAAAUCCUUUAAUAACAAUAACCCCUUAACUAAUAAAAAUUUGAAUAUCAAACUCUUCCAUUUUUAUUUAUAAAAACAACAUGAAAUUAACUGUAAAAUGGUAGAGUUAGUUAGAGUAUUAAAUAGAAUUUAGUACGAAAUUACUUAUAGGAACAUGAAAUUAGCUGUAUUAUGGAUUGUAAUUAGGGUAAUUAAGUAAUUAUGGUGGUAAUUAACAAUGUUUUAAAGCGUUAUCUAGUAAUUUAAGCUUUAUUAUUAUUAUUAUUAUUAUUAUUAUUAUUAUUAUUAUUAUUAUUAUUAAUUCUAUAUAUUUAAAAAUAACUUAUUUAUAAUUUGUAAAAAAUAAAAUUUAACAAUAAAUAUAUAUUUGUUUGAUUAAUUAAUUUAAUUAGUACUUGCAGAGACAUUCAAUUUCAAUUAUGACUGUAGGGAUGGAAAUGGAGAUCCAACUGUAGUGGCGGAAAUUAAAUCUUGCAAUUAAAACUAAUUUUGUGAUACAAGACAAACAAUAAUGGAUCAUAAAUUCUUAACCAAUCUUAUUCAUAAAAUUCUUAUAUAUAAGAUUCAGUUUUAUUUAAAGCAUGAUGAUUGGUGUUAAAACAAUAGAAGAUCUAUAAAGCUUUUGUAUAAUUAACCAGAUGGACAGUUUUAUUUAAAGCAUGAUGAUUGGUGUUAAAACAAUAGAAGAUCUAUAAAGCUUUUGUAUAAUUAACCAGAUGGAGGAGAGUGUUUGCAACACGGAAGUCUGGGACACGCAAUAGGGUCACAUACUUUACCUCCAAAUUGGCAGCAAGGUGGUAAGUCCUGUAUUUUCCCAGCAAAAACGCUUGUAAUAGCGACUAGUAACAACACAAGUUUGAAUAGCAUAUUCAACAUAUUUUUCAUCAUUCCUCAGCUUUUUUUGUAAAGAAGAAAAAGAUAAUAUAUAUUAUAGUGAGUCCUAUCUUAAAACAAAAUGUACUUAUUUAUAGGCAAAAAGAAAAAGAGAGAAUCGUUAAAAUAUGUAAAUGGAAAAAAAAUUUAAUGAUAUUAAAAUCUUUUUAUAUUUUAUAUUAAUUUUUAUGUUUAUCCAUUGAAUGACUUUAUAUGUUUAUAUUUUUUUUUCAUCUAUUGACUAACUUUGUCUUUCUCUCUUAUCCUAUUUAUAAGAAAAAGUUAAAAUUUUCAAAUUCGUUGAAUAAUUAAUAUAUUUAGUUCAUAAUAUAUUUCAUAUACAUUGAUCAUUUAUUAAAUUUAAAAAAUAUUUUUUUCUUAUAAAUUGGACCAAACAUAAUAUUAUAUUAAUUUUUUUCCUUUCAAUUGACUAAUUUUAUAUUUUUAUUUGAAGUUAAGUAUUUUAUUAUUUGUUGACUAAAUUUAAAGUUUAUUAUUUUAUUGUAUGAUUAUUUAUAAUUUAAUUUAUUAAUAAUACUUUGAAAUUUUUUUAUAUAACAAACACAUAAAAGUGAUGCAAAGUUAAGUAUUUUAUUAUUUGUUGACUAAAUUUAAAGUUUAUUAUUUUAUUGUAUGAUUAUUUAUAAUUUAAUUUAUUAAUAAUACUUUGAAAUUUUUUUAUAUAACAAACACAUAAAAGUGAUGCAUCUUUUAUUAUGAAUACUUUAACUUUUUAUGAUAUUGAUUUGAUAUCAAAUAAAAUCAAUAUCACAAAAAGUAAUAUUAUAUAUAGUAUUUAAAAUUUAAAUUCAUAUAUCAAAUUAAUAAUCUCCAAAAUUAUUUAUAGUGGUUAAUAAUUAUAUUGGUGCGGGCUAUUAGAAUUCUUAAAAAGUAAUUAGAUUAAAACUCCUAUUGUGGCUAUGUUUAUAUUAAAAAUAAAAAUUUAUUGGAAAAAAUAUACUUCUUUAAGUUUUUCAAACAUGUUUAUAUUUCUAUUUUUUUAACCAAAAAAUAUAUAUAUAUAUAAUUGUCUCUCUUAAUAUUUGGUUAAAAAAAAUUUAAAAUCAUUUUAUAAAAUAAAAUAAAAUAAUAUUUUAAUCAUUUAACUAUUUUUAAUUUUUAAUGGUAUUUAAAUAAAACUAAAAUGUACUCACCAAUAUAAUAUUUUUUUAUUUUAUUUAAUAUAUAAAUUUAAUCAAAUAAAAAUUUAGAUUAAAAUUAUAUAUAAUUGUUGAAGAUUGUAUACGUACUUUUAUAUAUAAUGGUUGAAGAUUGUAUACAUACAAACAACUUUAAUGUUAAAAAAGUAAUUAAAUCAAAAUUCUUAAAUUAAAUCAAAUUGAAAAGUUUGAAGGUGAGAAAAAUGUGCAAGAAGGGGAGGUUGAAUUGUGUAUUUGGAUUCUUUUUCACUUAUGAUAAACCAAUUUCAGAAUUUGAACAAGUUUAGAAUCUGAUCUCAGAGUUGUUAGCAGCGAAAUGAAUAAUAAUCAGAAGCAAGAAAUAAAGCAACACACAAAAUUAUCCUAGUUCCUCUCCUAAACUGAAAGUAGUCCAGUCCCCUUGCUAAACAAGAGAUUUUCAGUAAAAUUAAACUAAUUACAUUUUGCUCAAACAAACUAGCAAGAGACUUCAACUGCUCAAUCAUACUAGAAAGAGACUUAUGCGCAAGCACAAAAGCAAGAGACUUCUUUUGCUCAAACACACAAGAAAGAUAAUUCCACGGCUCAAGCAAACUAACAAGAGAUUUUCUAUACUCUAAAACAAUAGUUUAGGAGAAUAGAUACCAAUUAUACUUGAUGUUAAAUCAAGACUAUAUAAGUGAUACAACACACACAAAGAUUCUUAAGCACUUAAGAUUUCUAAGAUAAGAAAUUUCAAGAACUUGUGUAGUAAACAAAUAAAUUUAGGCCAAAAUUAUGCUCAAGUUGUUCUUGUUAGAUAGUUUAUUGGUUACUUCUCUUCCUUCAAAUCUUCAAUUCCUUUAAUAGAAGGGGGAAAAGAGACGUUGGAAGGUAACUUACACAAGAGAUCUUUGUUGAGACGUUGGAAGGAAACUUACACAAGAGAUUUUUGUUGAGACGUAGUUACAAGAGAGACAUUGGAAGUUAAUCCUUUAUCCUUUGUGAAAUAACUUUAUCCACUACGUAUUUCUCAUACUUGGUAUCUACCAAGAUGUUGGGGAAGACUUAAGAGGCCACAUCAACUUUCCUUGGGCCUUGCACUAAGAAACUUUAGUUGACUUUUUCAAUAAUCUGGCGUAGACAAGAUUGGUUUGCUUUGGAGAUAGAUUACGAUUCAGAAGUCGAGUUGUCAUCAGAAGCAAAGAUACAAACAUCUGAGUCAUCAGAAGCAAAGAAAUUAAAAUAUAUGAGCAAAGAGAGAGAAAAGAUACUGAUAAAAAUGUGCAGGAAAAUUAAAUUCUGAUAAAAAUGAGUAAAAACAACUUGAUGCAAGUUCCCCCAAAAAUACUAUUUUUAAGAGAUAGAUAAUUGGCUAGAAUGAUGGAAAUUAUUUCUUUGUUUCUCGAGAUGGUUAGACAUAUUUCUUUCAUCUUCUAGGAAUUGGAAACAACAUAAGUAAUGAUUGCAAUAAAGAGCUAGAAAACCUCAAGCUUCAUGCAUUAAAGAUUUAGGUGAUUAAACUUCCAUAAUAAACGUAUGAAAUGCUCAAAAUCUUCUAUAAAAGCAUGAGUUCAUAGGUUGAAAUCCCACAUCUACAUCCAACUCUUUCUCUUCUUCAAAAAAAUGAGCACUCCUUCUGAAGAUACCAGAGAACAAGUCUCUUUAGAGAUGACCGAGGGUAAGGAAACAAUUACCACCACUAAGCAUUAAGCUCAAAGAAGUGAAGAAACCCAACCUUCUGGGUCAACCACCUUUACUGAAGCACUCAAGCCCAAAAAGACUUCAAAUAAGAAGAAGCUCGUGAAGAAGAAGAAGAAGAAGAAGAUUUCCAAUAAAAUCAUCUACAUCAACUCUGAUGAAGAUAAAGAGCUAGAUGUGGACUGGGAAACCUCCUUUGUGGCUCGAGGUUGGACAAAUGAUUUUGAUAAAAUGUUGUAGAACACCAUAUUGCAUUCUCAUUCCGUUUUAAUGAAAUUUUAAUCACUUUCUUCUUUUUGCAAAUGAUACUUUUUGUUAAAGUCUCUUUAUUCCUUUGAAUGAUCCAUCGAUACAGAUGUUUUAGAAAUAAUUCAGCCAAUUAAGCCCAUAGUAAAGAAAAA